UACAGAGGGGGCAAGCGUUGUUCGGAAUUACUGGGCGUAAAGGGCGCGUAGGCGGCCUGCUAAGUCGAACGUGAAAUCCCUGGGCUCAACCCAGGAACUGCGUCCGAUACUGUUUGGCUUGAAUCCGGGAGAGGGAUGUGGAAUUCCAGGUGUAGCGGUGAAAUGCGUAGAUAUCUGGAGGAACACCGGUGGCGAAGGCGACAUCCUGGACCGGUAUUGACGCUGAGGCGCGAAAGCCAGGGGAGCAAACGGG
RNAcentral lists this ribosomal RNA (253 nucleotides) under uncultured bacterium. Its description in RNAcentral is "partial 16S ribosomal RNA". It matches the Rfam family "Bacterial small subunit ribosomal RNA", at positions 524 to 776 of the family's 1533-position model. The record is from RNAcentral.